UGGCACCCCUGUGCACCCAUGAAAGGGCUCGGCGGAACACACCGGGUGUGGUCAGCCAGGUCUUGGGAUCUGGCAAGAUAGGAAGAAUUUCUAAGUCUUUGUAAACAGCUGGCCUGGGAUGAGUUAUAGUUGGUUCUUCUGGCAGACAAAGGUCUACUCCUGCCCCAUCCCUAUCCCUUUAGGGGAUUCCUGGAUGUUUGAGGAACCUGUGGGAUAAAUGUUCAUCAGAUCCUGGAAGCUUUCCCUGGGGCCUGAAGAGGUAGUGAUGGUGAAGCCGGUCCCUAACAAUGACAACAUAUGAGCUAAGCACAAGAAAUUCAAACUCCGCGGAUGGAUAAAUGGAAGAAGAGAAACAGAAAAAGUUACAACAAACCAACUAGAAACUGUUCUCAAAAUAAA
RNAcentral lists this long non-coding RNA (399 nucleotides) under Phascolarctos cinereus (koala). RNAcentral's name for it is "lncRNA (ENSPCIG00000032396.1)". The record is from RNAcentral. Lineage: Eukaryota; Metazoa; Chordata; Mammalia; Diprotodontia; Phascolarctidae.